UGGUGGACAGAUUUGAAGCAGUUGCACCCAGGGCACCUGGGAGCCACAGCUGGAGCGUGUCAGUCACUGAGGUGUCCUCAGUGUGGGGGUGUGAUCUGGCCUGAGGUCUCGCUCUGAGAAGUGGGCUCUUCCCAACACUUCCUCCACGGAGGGACAGUGGAGGGUGAAGUUAGAUCCGCUGCCAGAGCCGGAAGCUCCUGCACUGCCCGGGGCUCUGUUCCAUGCGGGUCCGGGAGAAGCAUGGCGUCAGCCCAUCUGGGCCAGGACCGGGUGCUGCCCUGCUCACAGCUUCCCCAUGAGGUGACGUGUGCCCUGAAGUUCCAGAGUCUCCGAGUUCGGGAGAGUCCACGUUUAGGUGACUGUUCUUCAAAUACCCACUUCUAAGGGAAGAGGCCUCAGCCAUUCCUGACACAGAGGUCUCCAUGGGGACCACAUGGCCCACCCACGUGGCCUCUGCCCAGCAGCCGGAGCCACAGAGGACACACACACCCUCCCCCACAGGUACCUGCACACCACACAUGCACUACACACCACACACACACAUCCACACCCCACACACACCACACACACACCCAUCAUACACCACAUCCACACCACAUCCACUCACACACACCCACUCACACACACACACACACCCCUCACCCCAGGCAGCAUUGAGAGUCCCGGCCCCAGCGCACUCUCCCUUGGACAGUGGAACCAGAGGGGCAGGAAGGGUGGUCUUCCACGGUGGGGACCGAGGAAGCCUCGAGGCCCUCAGAGGUGAGCGGGAUGGAGUUCAUGCUGGGAGCGCCUUGUGCUCUUUGCCACUUGUGUAAAUGUUGCUGUCGACCGGGUUCUGUCCCCACUGACUGUUCCCCCUUGGAGGGAGGCAUGGCCCCGUGACCAGCUCUGGCCAGUGGAUUUGACAGGUGAGAGGGGCCACAUCCCUGUGAAAGCAUCUGAGAGCCGAGUGUCUCCAUCUUCCCUUCCCCUGUGGCCUCGAGAGGUUGGGUCCCCAAGUAAGGCCGGUGUGGAGCAGAGACCGCCAGCCCGUGACAGACAGGGCGUGAGAACGACAAUAAGCCUUUGUGGGUUUAGGCACGGAUUUGGGGCUGUUUGUUACCACCACAUCGUUCACCCCCUCCUGCUGCUGGGUGCAGUGAAGAACCACACCCCACAAAGGCUGGACUCUCCCCUGAGACGAGUCGUGGGAUUUGGGCACGAAGCUGGCAGCGGGUCGCAGAGGUUCAUGACCAGGAGGUGAGGACCUGCCUUCUGGCAGCGAUCCUGCGGCCACUCGAUGCCCGGCCCUCCCGGCCGGUGUCUCCCGAGGCCACAGAGCCUUUCUGAGAAACAGAUAUCAGGAUGCGAUCAUGCAACACGGAGCCGCCUGAAACACAAAGUUCACGGGUGUGUGCAAGUAUCUUUGUGUCUUCCUUCUCUUUUCCAUCGAAAGAGCAUAAACUCAGGACGGUGAUGGCCCUGGAAUGGGAACAGAACGAGACCGGGAAACUCAUUUAAUUUUCUGUCCACGCCCCCUUACACCCAUCUCUCAAAAGCUGAAGGCAACACCCGAGAGUCAUUCCCGCCCUGCUCUGCACCCCGGGAAGUUGACCCCAGGAGACUGCUUCAUCCCCACUCCCCUCCUUCUGGCUUCGAGUUGGGUUCAGCCAAUGGGAGAGCCCAACAGGACAUGGGAGGGUGGGAGGAGAGAGGCCCGGUGUGUAAACUCCACUCUCUCCUUGCCUCAGCACCUCCAGGACUAUGGCUCCACUGGGCAGCCCCCUGCUAAAGCUGUAGCCCUCUCUGGGCUCUGGUACUG
This 1801-nucleotide long non-coding RNA is filed under the name Equus asinus (donkey). RNAcentral describes it as "lncRNA (ENSEASG00005038811.1)". Lineage: Eukaryota; Metazoa; Chordata; Mammalia; Perissodactyla; Equidae. The record is from RNAcentral.